GUGAAUCAUCGAAUCUUUGAACGCAAAUUGCACUCUCCGGUUUUCCGGGAGAGUAUGCCUGUUUGGGGUUCGUUAGAAUACAAAAUCGAGGCGUUGCGCUUUUUUUUAAGGUUGAUCGCGUCGGAAUUUAGCCGUCUUUCAAAUGUUAAUUCAUGUCAAAGUGGCUUGAAAUUCAUCUAUCCGGUACGAUUAAAUCGUAUUUAAGAUCAACCUUUAUUAAGAACGCGCGAUGUCGUACCAUCU
RNAcentral lists this unclassified non-coding RNA (243 nucleotides) under Funneliformis mosseae. RNAcentral describes it as "partial contains 5.8S ribosomal RNA and internal transcribed spacer 2". The stretch from base 1 to 72 matches the Rfam family "5.8S ribosomal RNA", at positions 84 to 154 of the family's 154-position model. Lineage: Eukaryota; Fungi; Glomeromycota; Glomeromycetes; Glomerales; Glomeraceae. The record is from RNAcentral.